GUGGUUUGUCUACAGUGAGCCUCUCCUCUCUACAGUCUACAGAGUCAAGUGUUCGACUUCGGCUUGAUGUAUUUACUAUUUAGUUCUAUAUUUAUGUGUAUGUGAUCCAUGAUUUAGAUUAUGCUGUGACAUUUAUUCAACUUUUAAUUAACCAAUAGCUUUUCCAUUGGAUAUGGUAAUUAGUCUUUGAAAUAAUUAGGUUGUUGUUGGUCUCAAGUAGCCUACCUAAAUUUUUUUAGGUUAUAUUAUUUUUAUUUUUUAAUCACAAAGUAUAUUUUGAAACAAACGUGUACAGUAGGCCUAAUCAUGGACAAAGACCACGUUGUUUUUCAUAAUAGCCCAUUAAAAAUGCGAGAACUUGUUGAUAAAAAGGUUCAAGUAACAAUGAAAGACGGAAGAAAAUUCGAAGGAACCGUUUAUACCCAAGAUCCUGUUUCUGAAAUUUUAAUUAUUCAUAAUGUAAGAAAUGAAGCGAUUGAUUUGAAUUUUAUUAACAAAGUUGAUGUUGAUAAUAUUGAAGUUAUUGGUUUGAGUGACUGUAUACUUCCUGAUAACCUAUUCGGGGGUUCAUCCUCGGUGGUAGAACCGUUAUAUUUAGUAGAAACAAAACGGAAACGUUUAGUGGAAUGGCUGACUAGGAAUAAUAUUCCAAUAGUAGAAGACAAGGGUAUAAUAAGACUGGGUGAUAUUUUAAGUAUUGAACCACCAUAUGAAAAAGAAAAUAUAUUUUCCCAAAGUGAAAUAGUUUUGGGUAGAAUAUUAAAUUUAAUUUCAGACAUGCCCUCUAAUAGUAAAUCCGUCGAUGAAUAACAUAGUAUGACGAGAAUGUAAUGAUGCGGAUCACCCUUUUUUGAAGAAGCAGAAUCCUCUCACAACCCACAUGUCCCCACAGCACAAUCCCAUACUUAAUAUGACUGUGGAACAAAGCAUGGUAUGCAGUCACCAGGUAGCCUCUUGGCACAAUGCUCCACAACUUGCACAUUAGGAUUAUGAAAAUUCGGAAACACUUUAUGAAAUCUUGGAAUGCACUACUGACGCCAGUACAGAGACAAUCAAAGAGAACUAUCAGCGAUUGGCUAUGCUGUACCACCCAGACAAAUGCUCAGACGGGAACAAUACUGAGCGGUUCGUAGCGAUUGACAAAGCAUGGAAAGUCCUGAGGGAUCCACAAUCCAGGAAAACGUAUGAUGCCCAACUAAUGUCUGUCACGUCGGUUCAACAACCGCUCUUAUUUGGAACAGUCACUAAAGAAGAUAUGGACGAGCGAGGUGAUGAUCUUCUAUAUGCGUGUAAGUGUGGUGGUGAAUACAUAAUGUCUAAAAGUGAACUGUUGAUAACCAAUGAUUCAGACUGCGACUUGAGGCUUUUUGUUGAAUGUACUGACUGUUCACUAAGCAUUUGUGUAGUCCAUGGUAUAGGGUGAUUAUCUGAACAAUUCAAUGUGCAUAUACUUCUCCAAUACUGUAUAAGGACAAAUUAACUAGAAUUAUCAAGAUAAAUAAACUAGAUUACUAGACAAAUAAACUAGAAUUAUCAGGUAUUAGUUAUAUUUUGAAAACUGUAAAUUAUUAUUAGACAUGGCUGUGAAGCAUAUUUUUAUUGUAUGAUUGCUCCAUGUUUUUCUACUCCGAUAUCUUAAAAUAAAAAAUCUUUUAACUUACAACCAACAUAGGCUAGAACUGGCCUUCAAUUUUACUGAUAAUGAACUUUAUCAAUUUUCGUACGUCAUCCACCAUCAGUUAGAGGAAAUUUAUUCGAUAUAAUAUCUUAUAUGUUGAAUCUUUAUUGCUUUUAAUAAAGAGUAAAGAAAUUGUUAUGUUCCCAAUUAA
This 1829-nucleotide unclassified non-coding RNA is filed under the name Nilaparvata lugens (brown planthopper). RNAcentral's name for it is "dPH4 homolog, transcript variant X2". The record is from RNAcentral. Lineage: Eukaryota; Metazoa; Arthropoda; Insecta; Hemiptera; Delphacidae.